RNAcentral lists this ribosomal RNA (125 nucleotides) under Leptographium davidsonii. RNAcentral describes it as "Grosmannia davidsonii partial small subunit ribosomal RNA". It matches the Rfam family "Eukaryotic small subunit ribosomal RNA", at positions 1657 to 1779 of the family's 1831-position model. The record is from RNAcentral. Lineage: Eukaryota; Fungi; Ascomycota; Sordariomycetes; Ophiostomatales; Ophiostomataceae.
CCUUUGUACACACCGCCCGUCGCUACUACCGAUUGAAUGGCUCAGUGAGGCUCUCGGACUGGCCCAGGGGGGCGGGCAACCGCCCCCCCGGGCCGGGAAGUUAUCCAAACUCGGUCAUUUAGAGG